UCUCAUUUCUCAUUCCCCUCAGCCAGGAGAACCACAAAGAUAUUGUCAUCUGUGUAGAAGCCAGUUUCGAUAUCUGGUGUCUACCCCUUGCCCUGCUGGCAGGGCAUUGAGCGGCACCCGUUGCCGGCCACCUGGGUGUGGAGAUUGAAGAGGGUGAAGAGAGGAGCAACCCUGAGCAUCUGCCAUCCUGCUCCAUCUGAUCUAGAAUAAGAUGGAGCGAAUCAGGCAGAUGCUCAGGAGGAAGGCCGGGCAGGUGGCUCCACAGCCAGAA
Mauremys reevesii (Reeves's turtle) is the source of this 271-nucleotide long non-coding RNA. RefSeq lists it as uncharacterized. NCBI's taxonomy places the organism in Eukaryota, Metazoa, Chordata, Testudines, Geoemydidae. The record is from RefSeq and is a predicted model, not a curated record. The transcript is spliced from 3 exons.